UUUUUUGGGCAAGGUUCUAAAAUAAUUUAUAUUUAUUGCACAUGUGCUAUGUGUAAAGAACGGUCACGGAAAUAGGAAGAAGAAGAAGCAUCCAGUGGUUUAGAAGGUGGUGUCAUUUAGGCAAUGAUGUGAUUUAGGCGGCGGUGGCAUGGUUUAGGUGACGGCAUGUUGAUUCUUGGGAUGGCAGCGUAGAGGCAGGGAUGGCUGUGCUGGCCUGGAGCAUAGCAGAAGGCCUAGCACCUGGUCCCUGGUGGCCGCAGGGAGUGGCAGCAUGUGUGUGUGUGUCUGUGGAAGGGGCGGCCCAGCUGUGAGCCAGCAGGAAGCUGAGAUUAAGGUGCUGAGAGGUAGAAGGACCGGAGUGUGUGCCAAGCCUGAGAACUGGGCGCACUCAGUCUCUGCCAGCCUGGCCCAGCCCUGGUGAACUCAAAUCCAGAACCAGGCAGGCUGUAGUGCCCUUCCCUCGCCCGAUUGACUGUCCUGUCCUGUUUACAGUCGCCUGUGUCCUCACUUCCUGUUUACCUCUCAGUGCUUGUGACUCAGCAUGUCCUGUUCCACUGUGCUGACCCUCUGUGGGCCAGGAUGAAGGCUGGAGGGUGAACCUUUUCUGGCUGAAUCUCCUGGACUCCUCUGCUUUAGCCAGCUUUCUCGAGCGCUUGGUCAUCUUGGAACUGCUGUGCUCUUAGAGCUAAGCUCAGUUUCCUCAUCUUGAGAAACUCUUUCCUUGACUUCCGGUUUCCUUCUGCUUCUUGGGGCCGGUCCUCCCAUGCUUGCUCCUAGAUGGUGGGAUGUGUCCUGGGUCCACAGCUCCUCUGUCUCCUGUCCCUGGGGCCAGUGCCUCACCUCUCUGGGCAGCUGAAGGGUCAUCCCAUUGUCUGAGCAGAUGACGAUGAGGGUAGUAAGUGUGGCGAUCGAGCUGCUUUGCUAAGCAUUUCACGGCUGACUCCUGACUCCUCCCUCAGCUGCGUGAGGCAGUGGCUUCUGCAGCACGGCCUGGGGCCUUCAUGGGAGCAGGUGCGUGAUCACCUGGAAAUGUCUUCGCCUCCUGUGGCUUCUGGAUUUAGAGUCAGAAGGGUUUGCGACAGUUGCAUAGGAAUUCUCCACAUGUUCUGUUCUUUUGGAACUUGAGAAAAAGUAAAACCAAACAACACGUGGGAGUCUUUUACCUGCUUGGAAUUUAUCCUGCUGUGACGUGCACCUUUGGUCCAGUUUUGUUUUCUCAGGUGGUUUCCCAAUACUGAUAGCAUUUAUUGCAUAAUGUGUCUUUUACUCACUGAUUUGAAAUGCCGUUUUCUUCACCCACCAGCUUCUCUUUGGUGUUUGGGUCUCGUUUUAGACUCCACUGUCAUUUGUUUGCCUGUAUCACUAUUCUUUCGAUCAUUAUUCUGUUCACUAAUCAAGGAAUAAUUGAGGCAGCGUCAGACAGGCAUUAAUGUGAUGACUGCCCGCACCCCUCCAGGUGUUUCCUAAGCUUUUUGUGACGGAGCCCGCCGUCACUUGUCGAACAGUACCUGAAUGGGGGAGUGAGGAUGAAGAAAAAUAAAGACAAAGAGAUAGAGUCGGGAGGGCUCCCAGAGACCGAGCACCCAAGUUUAUUUUUCUCCUCUCUUUUAUACAACAGGUGAGUUUGGUUGUUAAUCAUGACCCUUAUCCAGAGACAACUGCUUCCUUGUUUUCUAGUUCUUUGGGAAUUCCCCACCCUCAUGGGCUUCCUUGUUUCUCGGGGUUACAGAACGUUCAUCACAUUCCAGGGCAAUCUAAUUCGGCAAGGACGCGGUUCCUCAUAACAUAGUCUCCUUGCUCUAUACAAUGGAGGGUAAGAUUCAAAAUGGAGCCUCUUUGGCUAACACCGCUCUCCACACACCACUCUCCACAUUUUUGGCUUAGUUUUUAAUUGACUUGUUUUCUUAUUGUUGAGUUUUAAGAGUUCUUUAUAUAUUUUGGAUAAAAGUUUUUAAAAAAUC
Heterocephalus glaber (naked mole-rat) is the source of this 1961-nucleotide long non-coding RNA. The record is from Ensembl. Lineage: Eukaryota; Metazoa; Chordata; Mammalia; Rodentia; Bathyergidae.